CCUACGGGUGGCAGCAGUGAGGAAUAUUGGUCAAUGAGCGAAAGCCUGAACCAGCCAAGUCGCGUGAGGGAAGACGGUCCUAUGGAUUGUAAACCUCUUUUGUCGGGGAGCAAAACACGACACGUGUGGCUUUGCGAGAGUACCCGAAGAAAAAGCAUCGGCUAACUCCGUGCCAGCAGCCGCGGUAAUACGGAGGAUGCGAGCGUUAUCCGGAUUUAUUGGGUUUAAAGGGUGCGUAGGCGGUGUGUCAAGUCAGUGGUAAAAUUGCGGGGCUCAACCCCGUCGAGCCGUUGAAACUGGCUAUCUUGAGUGAGCGAGAGGUAUGCGGAAUGCGAGGUGUAGCGGUGAAAUGCAUAGAUAUAACGAAGAACUCCGAUUGCGAAGGCAGCAUACCGGCGCUCAACUGACGCUGAGGGACGAAAGCGUGGGUAUCGAACAGGAUUAGAUACCCGUGUAGUC
This 459-nucleotide ribosomal RNA is filed under the name uncultured bacterium. Its description in RNAcentral is "partial 16S ribosomal RNA". It matches the Rfam family "Bacterial small subunit ribosomal RNA", at positions 338 to 795 of the family's 1533-position model. The record is from RNAcentral.